RNA transcript from Andrographis paniculata, 1015 nucleotides. RefSeq lists it as uncharacterized. The record is from RefSeq and is a predicted model, not a curated record. NCBI's taxonomy places the organism in Eukaryota, Viridiplantae, Streptophyta, Magnoliopsida, Lamiales, Acanthaceae. The transcript has 9 exons.
UUAGAGUUCCUCCUUUACACGAACUCCUCCGGGCUCCAUCUCUCAUGCGAAUUACAGUCCACCAUCUUCAGGGCUUCAAAAUUGUCAAAAUCCGUUCCCAGCUAGAUGAUAAGCUCUUUAAGGACCUCUUCUCCCGCCUCGAAGAAGAAACACGAGGAAAGGGAAUGGCUAGGUGUGAGUUUCAAGCCAGAGAACUUCAUUCCUGGCCUUGUCAUAGGAUUCAUUUUGGGCAUAAUAUUGGAUUUCUCUAAGCCAGCUAAAAGCUCCGGUGGCAGGAAACUUGGUGGCCAACCGCUUGCCAAAAAUCAACGGCUGCAAAAAAAUCUGUCGACCGCCGCUGACGAAGAGCUCAAAAUGGUUUUAGUAGUUAGAAAUGACCUUAAGAUGGGAGCUGGAAAGAUUGCGUCUCAAUGCGCUCAUGCUGCCACCGGAAUGUAUGCUGAACUUAUGCAAAGCCACCGGUCCCUUCUGAGGCAAUGGGAGCAAUGCGGGCAGGCGAAAAUAGUCUUGACGUGCAAGAAUCAGCAAGAAAUGAAUAAGGUUAGGGAUGCUGCUGAAAGCAUCGGCCUCCCAACGUUCUUGGUCGCUGAUGCAGGACGAACUCAGGUUUCUGCUGGAUCGACAACUGUUCUAGCUGUCGGACCUGGAAAUAAAUCAGCUGUGGAUUCAGUAACUGGGAAGUUGAGAUUGCUCUGAUGCUUUUUCUCUGCUUUUGCAUUCACAAAAGUUGCUGUUUUGGCUCUCUUAGUAAUGUCCUCGGUGAAAAACAAACACAAAUUUCAAUAAGCAUGCCUUGUAAGUACUCAUCGACUGAUUUCCUAAUUAUGUUAAAACAUAAUGUCAUCACAACGAAUUUUCUAGUCUAAAUAGUCUCGCGAACGAACUAGAGUAGCCCAGUUCAAUUUAACAAUCAGGUAUGUUUCACAUGCUUACCUAAACAACAAUAAAGAAGUAGGAAUGAGAGAGAAAAAAAAAAAAAACUCCUAUAAUCGUAGGGCGUAGGAUGCAGAAGGCC